Long non-coding RNA from Homo sapiens (human), 312 nucleotides. The record is from Ensembl. Lineage: Eukaryota; Metazoa; Chordata; Mammalia; Primates; Hominidae.
CCCAACUUUUUUUUUUUUUAAUCUACAAUACAGCUGCACUGUUGGUAGAAGUGAGAAUCUAACUGGUGGCUGGAGUGAGGUGGCAUAAUCACAGCUGAAUGCAGCCUCAAUCUCCCAGGCUUAAGAGAUCCUCCCUCCUCAGCCUCCUGAGUAGCUGAGAAAACAGGCAUGUGCCACCAUGGCCAGCUAACUUUUUAAAUUUUUUUUAAGAGAUGGGGGUCUCACUGUGUUACUCAGGCUGGUCUUAAAUUCCUGAGCUCAAGCUAUCCUCCCACCUCAUCCUCCCAAAGUGUUGGAAUUACAGGCAUGAGC